Molecule: ribosomal RNA, 445 nt
Filed under: uncultured soil bacterium
Lineage: Bacteria
Description: bacterial SSU rRNA
Rfam family: Bacterial small subunit ribosomal RNA
Source: RNAcentral
AGAACGAACGCUGGCGGCAUGCCUAAUACAUGCAAGUCGAACGAACUCUUCGGAGUUAGUGGCGCACGGGUGCGUAACGCGUGGGAAUCUGCCCCUUGGUUCGGGAUAACAGUUGGAAACGACUGCUAAUACCGGAUGAUGACGAAAGUCCAAAGAUUUAUCGCCAAGGGAUGAGCCCGCGUAGGAUUAGCUAGUUGGUGAGGUAAAGGCUCACCAAGGCAACGAUCCUUAGCUGGUCUGAGAGGAUGAUCAGCCACACUGGGACUGAGACACGGCCCAGACUCCUACGGGAGGCAGCAGUAGGGAAUAUUGGACAAUGGGCGAAAGCCUGAUCCAGCAAUGCCGCGUGAGUGAUGAAGGCCUUAGGGUUGUAAAGCUCUUUUACCCGAGAUGAUAAUGACAGUAUCGGAGAAUAAGCCCCGGCUAACUCCGUGCCAGCAGCCGC